UCAAUCAUCUUGUCCCAUCUUCCAUGAUCUUAGCUCAUGCUCUUACUAAUAUACAAUCCGAGUUACAUGUUUAACUUCAGGAAUAACUGAUCCUCGUUCCUCCUAGGAAGUAUAAUUCAUGAGUCCUUCCAAUAGGGUAGAGUAUCAUUGUACACGAAAAUACUACUCUCCUAAGGGUCCUCAUCCGAAGCCAUGAACCCAAGAAAUUAUUCAAUUCCAUAUUCCGACUAACCAAUUUACACCUUACUAACACAUACAAUACUGAACUAAUCCCUUCUAGAUCACCACUUAGUAAGUCUCUUCCAACAUCACUCCUUAUGGUUCUCAUUACCCGUAGUAGUGAUACACCUAAGAGUUACUCACACCGAAUAUGAUUCACUAGGUUGGUUCCCCAAACGUAUGACUUCUAUGAUAUCUCUACAGAUGACCAACUACGCACUACACCUUCAAAAAUCCCAAUUUCAAAACUACCAAUCUGACUUGUGUUGACUUGUAACUCCAUCCUCAAUUUGUACAUCCACAACGGUACACUUAUGACAUUUAAGACACUCUUAGCUCCAACACGGUGUGAAUGUUUAUACUCCGUGACCAACCAACCAAACACUUCUCAAGAAGAUAAAUAACAACUAGACUUCCUAUAAGCCAAUAUUACUCUUGCAAUUCAAAUAAAAUGCACUAAAGAUGAACCUUAUCAUUGCCACGGACUUAUGACUGGAAUUUUCUUCUAAACCAAUACCUACUACACCCUUCAUCAUACUGGGGUUACUUGUCUAGAUGACUUGCUACGGACAAUCCUCAUUGUCUCCCAAUAAGCUCUUGCAACAUAACAUAUUCCAUAUCCUACACUUAGUCCAUAUUCUCCAGCUUAGUUUAUCUUUCAUUAUCUAUCAUCAACUCAACUUCUUAGAAUACAAGGCUCACUACUCAACAAAAUGUGUGUUACUUUACAUCCAUCUCAAGACAAGGAAUCCAUUACACUUAGUUGUGACCAUAAUGCUACUAUCACAUACUUCUCUUAAUACCAAGGUAUAACUUCUUCCACUCCACUACAUACUCUAAAAAUCCUCGAUGCGAACAAUCAUCAACCACAAGCCCAUAACUUCGUAUUAAUGAAUCUUAAUGGUCCCAUUGUGCCUUUAUCUAAAAUGUUCUCCAUUACAACAGUUGUAUUGCAACAUUCACACUACUUCCACACUCGGUGUUCACUUGUCUUCCCAUGGUAAUUCUCCCAGUUCCAAUUACAAAACCAUUCUACUAGAAUUCCUUAAAUCCGACUUACUUGCUUUUCUCCUCAACCAAAUCUCCUACAACUAAAACUCACCGGAGCUUCCAUUACUAAAUAAUGUGCGUUCUCUCUUUCCAUACGAACUCUUAUAAUUGAUCCUUAGGUAACUUAACAUUCCAUUACAGUUUCUCACUAACACUAAACCUCUAACUAGCUAUCUUGAAUCUGAUCUCCCUUUUAAGACUGGACCUACUUGGUUUAUCUUCUAACCUCCAUUUGGUCCAUACAUGUUUCACUUGGAAUAGGCAGCCAUGUCCUCGAGUUUCUCCUUAGACUUCACCAUUACCUUAGGCUCCCAACAAAACUGAACGUCCUUAUCCCUCAAGUUCUUAACCACUUGCAAGGUACCAUUCCAAAUAUAUAUUCCAUUAAGUACUCUCGUUCUUCCAAAAUAUUUUAGUGACCUUAGAAACUGAAACACUGAUACACUACCUCACUUCCAGACGUUAUGACAUAUGUGCAACAUAACCAUCCUUUCUCCUUCACCAUAUGGAAUUACUCACAAUACUUAUUCCAUAUCAGUGAGUAUAUCUUAUUCCACUAGCAAUUC
RNAcentral lists this long non-coding RNA (1835 nucleotides) under Lathyrus oleraceus (garden pea). RNAcentral describes it as "Pisum sativum (pea) long non-coding RNA (PSAT_LNC037962)". Lineage: Eukaryota; Viridiplantae; Streptophyta; Magnoliopsida; Fabales; Fabaceae. The record is from RNAcentral.